RNAcentral lists this long non-coding RNA (795 nucleotides) under Vulpes vulpes (red fox). RNAcentral describes it as "lncRNA (ENSVVUG00000016375.1)". Lineage: Eukaryota; Metazoa; Chordata; Mammalia; Carnivora; Canidae. The record is from RNAcentral.
GGUAACAAUUCCCUUGACUUCCUUAGUGAUCAAAUCCAAAUAAAUAAGCCACUACUUUCAAUGAGACAUAAAAGUCUAAUCUAGUCUAGCAGAUUAAAUACCUCACAUCUAGAGGAACAUCCUCAGAUUCUCAGAUGAACCCUUUUAAUAGUUGCUUUUAAGACCAGCUUAAUGUAUUUUCCCAAAUCUGAAUUUUCUCCAAAAUAAUAAAAGUUGUAUCAGUUAUCAUUUUUGCUAAAAGCUGUUAUUUUUAGAACAACUCAUCAGGGUCCCACUAUCAAUUCAGACUACACAUAACUGGCUGGAGUUAAAAUCUUCUCCUUAAGCAUCAGAAUUGUUUUCAGAUAUGAUAGCCAAAGCCACAUAUGGUUAUCAAACACUUGAAAUGGAGCUAGUCCAAAUCAAGAUGUGCUGCCCUGGAAAUGCAACAGUGAGACCAAUGUGUUUCCUCCCCUCAUCUUGCUUGCAACCUACCAAACCAAGUCCCAGUGGAACAAAUGCCAUAAUUAGCCCUCAGAAGAAAGGCCAGAGAUUGACUGCGAGGUCCCUCCAGUCAUGCCUUGAGGCCCUUGCUAGACUGGGACGCUCACACUGUUGCUCUCUGCUUUGUAGCUGUUUGUGCAAGAACAAAAGGACUUCAGUCUCCGUUGCUAUUAAUCCAACUUCACAAGCAUGAAAUUUACAGACACACACAAGAAUUCAUCAUUGAAACCUUUUCCCCUUGUCAUGUUCAGCUGCUGAAAAGUGGGCAUACUCUUGGAUAUGAAUGUUAAUAAAAAGGAAAAAAAAUGGACA